This 234-nucleotide long non-coding RNA is filed under the name Vigna radiata. Its description in RNAcentral is "long non-coding RNA (VRAD_LNC005586)". The record is from RNAcentral. Lineage: Eukaryota; Viridiplantae; Streptophyta; Magnoliopsida; Fabales; Fabaceae.
AGAGAAUUAAAAACUAAAUUGUGGAGACUUAUGAAAAGGGAAGGGAGGGGUCAUGAAGGUGGAUGGGUCUUAUUGACUUAAAUAGGUGUUUGAAGAAAGUCAAAAGGGAGAUUCCUUUGGCACAUUCACGGUUAAAAGUAAAAAUGGAAAACAAACUGCAGAAAGAGAAAAUUGAUUACAAAUGGGAUUUUCUACUUAAAGAAGCUCUAUAAUAUAAGAUAAUCCAUAUAAGAG